AUGGCGCCCGCCCCGCCCCCGCCGCCCUCCCGCCCCCGCGGCGGCAGCGCCAUGGCGGCCGUGCGGGACGUGGAGAUCGACCCCGAGGGCACCUUCAAGUACAUCCUGGUGCGCCUGCAGCGCCCGGGCGGCGGCGAGCAGCGGGACAUCGUCCGUGGCACCAAGGCGGCCGAGUUCCACAAUCAUAUAUUUGAAAAAGUAAAUCCCGAGAUGGAAAAGCUGGGAUAUGAGUGCAAGUGCCUUGGAGGAGGGAAAAUUGAACAUAAUAGCAAAGACAAGAAAAUCAGGGUAUUUGGGCUCUCAACAGGCUAUGGAAAAGCAGAUCACUCAGUGACUGUAGAGAUACUGAAGAAAGAGUAUACAGAUUAUGAAAUCACAUGGUCAGAUGACAAGAAAUAAACUUGUGAACACAAUGAGCAAUUCCAACCUAGUAACUGUGAGCUGUGCUUUGAGAAAUAAAAUUGAAGCUUUCAUUUAAUUCAUUUGUGGAUUUAUUGACUUGCUGUCUUGAAGGCUCGCUGACUUCCAGAGGUAUUUGUAUAUAAAUUCUAAUUCUUCCCUUUGCUGUGGUUCCUACUGCACUUAUCCAGCAGUAUCUGGUGGCAUUGGGAGGCUUUUCCUUUUCAGCAUGCAAGUGACUCACAGUACAAACGGGGAAGUCUGAGAGACUUUAGGCCAAUUUCUAUCACCAAAAAUCCUGUUGUUACUCCUUACAGUUGUGAUCCAUCUUAAGUCACCUUUCUGUGGCUUUGUUUCGGUUGGGUGGGGAGGAAUUUUCUGUUCUCAUUCUCACACCUUUCAGUCCAGUUCUCAUCAGAAGAGUUCCAGGGAUCUCCAUCCCAAUAAUCUCCUCGGAGUAGAAAUCUCCUGAACCUGGUGCUACAGCUCUCUUGGUUGGCACCAGAUUCCCCCCACUUGCAGCCUGGAUUUUCCCCUCCAGCAUCCUUGCCUGCUUUUGCAUCUGCUCUUUGUGCUUCUCUUGGAAUUCUUGAGCAGUGAGUUGUCUGGCUGCACCUCAAAUACUGUGGUAAUGAUUGCAGGAUUGAUUUUACUUAACAAGAUUUUGAUUUCAGAGCAUGAUAUAAUGUCUCUGUGCCUAAUAACCAAGAAUAGGACACAAGUCAGUAACCUGCAAAUCGGGCACUUCCCAGAUCCAUUAUCGUGGGCUUUUUCCCCCCUAAGUUUUAGUAAAAUAACUGGAGCUGCCAGUAUACAAACCUGAGCUUUAAAUAGCCUCAUUUCCCAAAACUGGCAAAUGGUCUUCAAGUGGAAGUCAUCAGUUAGGCAUAGCUGUGUUAAAACAAACAAGCCUUUCAGUUUAGUUUCCUGAGGUAUUUAAUGAGUGAUUUUAAUCUUUGUCUCCACAGUACUUACAGGAAAGACAUAAUUUAGACUGGACUUAUUAUUGUAAUGACGUGUUCAAAAUGUGAGGGGGGGAAAAAACAGUGAUGAUUUGGAAUGAGCUGAUUAAAACUGAGUUACUAGCUGA
RNA transcript from Hirundo rustica (Barn swallow), 1489 nucleotides. It is a transcript of the gene named 14 kDa phosphohistidine phosphatase-like, with no coding region annotated. The record is from RefSeq and is a predicted model, not a curated record. The transcript is spliced from 4 exons. Lineage: Eukaryota; Metazoa; Chordata; Aves; Passeriformes; Hirundinidae.